RNAcentral lists this ribosomal RNA (446 nucleotides) under uncultured bacterium. RNAcentral describes it as "bacterial SSU rRNA". It matches the Rfam family "Bacterial small subunit ribosomal RNA", at positions 329 to 792 of the family's 1533-position model. The record is from RNAcentral.
CGCCAGACUCCUACGGGAGGCAGCAGUGGGGAAUAUUGCACAAUGGGGGAAACCCUGAUGCAGCGACGCCGCGUGAGUGAAGAAGUAUUUCGGUAUGUAAAGCUCUAUCAGCAGGGAAGAAAAUGACGGUACCUGAUUAAGAAGCCCCGGCUAACUACGUGCCAGCAGCCGCGGUAAUACGUAGGGGGCAAGCGUUAUCCGGAUUUACUGGGUGUAAAGGGAGCGUAGACGGCAGCACAAGUCUGGAGUGAAAUGCCGGGGCUUAACCCCGGAACUGCUUUGGAAACUGUGCAGCUAGAGUGCAGGAGAGGUAAGUGGAAUUCCUAGUGUAGCGGUGAAAUGCGUAGAUAUCAGGAGGAACAUCGGUGGCGAAAGCGCUUUACUGGACCAUUAUUGACGCUGAGGAACGAAAGCCAGGGGAGCAAAUGGGAUUAGAUCCCCGCGUA